CCAUUAGAUGUCCUGGGCCGCACGCGCGCUACACUGAGUGUCUGAGAUACGAGUCUGCCUGGUCCGGCAAGGUCUAGGUAAUCGCUAAAAGACACAUCAUGCUUGGGAUAGAUUAUUGCAAAUAUUAAUCUUGAACGAGGAAUUCCUAGUAAGCGCAAGUCAACAGCUUGCGUUGAUUACGUCCCUGCCCUUUGUACACACCGCCCGUCGCUACUACUGAUUGGAUGUUUAAGCGAGGUUCUCGAACUGCUAGCGACUUAGCUUCGGUGAGGUCGCAGUGUGGGAAGUGAACCUAGCUUUGGUGUCUAGAGGAAGUAAAAGUCGUAACA
RNAcentral lists this ribosomal RNA (329 nucleotides) under uncultured eukaryote. RNAcentral's name for it is "partial 18S ribosomal RNA". It matches the Rfam family "Eukaryotic small subunit ribosomal RNA", at positions 1470 to 1796 of the family's 1831-position model. The record is from RNAcentral.